UUUUUUUUUUUCUUACUUAAAUAUUGCUCCCACACAAGCAAAGAGCCCCAGCUCUCCGUCCCAGAAAAGGCUGGUGGGUCUUGUUCAGUUUGGAGGAUUCAUGACAGAUACAAAUGCUAAUAAUUCUUUGGAAACAAUAGAGAAAAUACUUCAGAAUUCCCCAAGCAUUUUAAAACACUUUCUCAUUCUAAUAUUUGCUGAAGACCGAUUAUGUGAAAUUUGAUCUCACUUAUUUCUAAAACAAGUAGCUGAAUGGCUCUUGGUAACUAGGCAGCAUUGAAAUUUGUUAACUUCCUUUCUAAUGAACCAAUAUUUGAAAAAUUAAAAUGAGAGAAAUAGUUAAGAUAGGUUCAGAUUUUUUAUUACCCCCUUACAAUUAUAUAGGCAAGGAAAUCAGCUAUCCUGCAGCAUAAUGUAACCUCAAGGGAACUGGGAUUUGAUAGGUUAUGUACAAGGGAUGAUGGGAAUUGCAAGAAGCAGGAGUUUUUCCAGUAUCCCAUGAUGAGCUGAGGUUCCUGGGAUGUUACAGAAGCAUACAAAGGAUUCAGGGGACAAGAAGAUUUUUGUUCUCCUUUGCUUAUUUUUAUGUGGCCCUUGAUUUCAGUCUCCUUUAGAAAUCAUCAGUUCUUUACUUCAACUACCCAUCAUUACUUCUCUCCAUCUGAUAACAGCCUUUACCCCUUGGGCACAGGGAUAUGACCAUGAAGCAAGUUAGAGCAACAUGUUUCUGGACAGAAUGGUUAGCAAACAAUAUGUUAUAAUAUUAGUCAAAUUGGGAUGCUCUCUGGGAAAAUUUUCAAUUGUAGUUGCUAGAGAAGUGCUCAUUUCUUCCCAGUGGGGAGCUAAAAAGAAGUGAGCCAAGAGUAGCAGAAAGUCAUGUUUUGUCUUAGAGGAGCUAAAGAUUUUAAAAGCCACAAUGUACAAACAGAAUCAUAACUGUAUCUGAAGUCCUAGUCCCAGAUGUCUCAAUGGCCAGAUGUCUCCCACUUUUUCUGUAGUUCAAUUGUAUAAGCCAAUGCAGAUCUCUUUUGUUUACUGACUGAAACAAUAACCUCAAAUAUAAAAGUGACUUCCUCUACUGCUCCAUUGUGUUUGAAUUGAGUGCUAUUUUCUCUAGUAUAUCAGCUCAGAAUGGUAUAUGGCUAUAAGUGUAAGAAGGAAGAGAGGAAGGGAGGGAGGAAGGAAGCAGAGAGGAAAAAAGGAAGAAAGUUACAUUCUUACCUCAUACAGAAAUUAAUUCAAAAUGAAUCAUAGACACAAGUGGAAGAAUGAAAACUAUAAAAACUUCUAGAAGAAAAUAUAAAUGUAAAUUUUUGUGGUUUGGAUUAAGCAAUGGUUUCAUAGAUAAAACACCAAAAAAGAUAUACGAACAUCUAAUAAGCACAUGAAAAGAUGCUCAGAAUUGUACCUCAGUGUUCAGAAAAGUAUUUUUACAAUUACCAAGAUAUGGAAGCAACCUAGCUGUCCAUCAAUAGAUGAACAGAUAAAGAAGAUGUACCCCCCCACACACAUACAUUGGAAUACUACUCAGCCAUAAAAAAGAAUGAAAAUUUUUGCCAUUUCCAACAACAUGGAUUGACUUGGAGGGCAUUAUGCUAAGCAAAAUAAUUCAGAGAAAGGCUAAUAACUACAUGAUAUCACUUACAUAUGAAAUCUAAAAUAUAAAACCAGUGAUUUUUUCUUUUUUUAAAGAAAGAGACUCAUAGAGAAAAAAACUAGUGGUUACUAGUGAGGAGAGGGAAAGCAGAUGGGCAAGGUAGGGGUAUGGAAUUAAGAGGUAAAAACAACUGUGUAUAAAAUCAAUAAAUCACAAGAAUCUAUCGUACAAUGUAGGGAAUAUAGCCAAUAUUUUGUAACUAUAAAUGGAGCAUAUCCUUUAAAAAUCAUGAAUCACAGGUGUUACACACUUGAAACUCAUAUAAUAUUGUACAUAAAUUACACCUCAAUUAAAAUCCUCAAAAUCAUUAGUCAUUAGGGAAAUGCGCAUUGAAACCACAAUGAGAUCCUCUUCAUAACCAUUAGUAUCACCAGUAUUAAUAAGAUGAAGAAUAAAUAUGUUGGUGAGGAUGUGGAGAAAUUGAAAUUUAUAUUAAAACGUCCAGAAGUGAGGGGGAGGUACAUUAGUAGUUGCCAGGUCUGGGGGUAAAGUGGAUGGGGAGAGACUGCUAAUGGGUAUGGGAUUUCUUUGGAGGAUGACGACAAAGCUCUGGAAUUAGAUAGUGGGGAUGGUUGCAACAACUCUGUGAAUAUACUAAAAACCCUGGACUUGUACAUUUUUAAGGGGUAGAUUCCAUUGUAUGUGAAUUAUAUAUCAUAAAAUUGUUAUUAGAAAAACAACAAAAUAAAUAGUUUGGACUAUAUAAAUUCCCAAAGCAAAAUUUAAGAGGGGAGGGUUUUUUUUGUUUGUUUUUUAAAUUAAUUUCCUACAUUUUUUUUAAAUGGUGGGUUCAUAGGGGAAAAAAAAAACUGUUUAGAGCUCUGAGAAUGUGGAACAAAAUUGUCUAGAUAAAUGAUUAGCUGCUGAUCAGAUUUUUUUUUAACCACAGAAGCUACAUGGACAAAUAAAAUUUCCUGGAAAAAUUGCAAGGCAAUUUCAAAGGAUCCCAGCCCUGCAGUCCUCAUAUACAACUAGAACUAAUCUACACAAACCUGGCUUCAAAUCCUAUCACUGCCAUUUAGUCUUUAUAGACAUAAUAAAGCUGGUGUUCAACAACCUGAUUUCUCUUAAGGAGUACACCACGGGCUGUGAUAUAGUUGUGACAUCCUUUCCAUGUUAACAACUUGGACGGCCAGCAGACAGGUGGUCCCUUCCCUUCCUCUCCACUCUAUGCACAUUCCUUGCAGAAUGUAGACUCCAUCAAAGCGAAAAAAAACUUUUUAGGAGAGAAACAUGUAGGAAGUGCUCUGGUUCUCUCUACCAGAAAUCUAUUAAUGGAUGUACCUUGUGCCAUAUUGAGCAAAAUGUGUGCUUUCUCUUUUUCAGCUAAAGUUGACCAGCAUGACUAAUACUAAAGGGCUUGGUCCUUAAAUCCACUAAAGUUUAGCAUUUGGGUCAUGUGGGAGGCUGAAACACAACAGAAGCUCUCAUACAGAAAUGCCCUAGACACUACAGGAAAAGCUCCUGGAAAAGGGUGCAGGGAAUCCAAAUAAGGAGUCAAUCUACUUCUACAUCUUUGUAUGCUCCUUGCUGCUACUCAUGAAGGUAGGCUGUUCUCACCUGGAGGACCAAUUAUCCUCUAUGAAUCUCAUGAUGACAUGCUAUCAACUGAAAAAGGAAGCACAGUCCACUACUGUACUUACUACAAUGGCUCAGAUAUUAGGGGAGGGGAUAGUGACACAUGUUCAUAAAUACAAAAUGAAAAGCUCCCUUUUAUUUUCUUAUGUCCAACAUAUUAGAAGAAAUUUUGCCUUUCCAGCUGCUAGCCAUCCCUCUCCAAAGGAACACUGAUUCAUUCAUUUUUUGCUUUUGCUGAGGUUGUGAGACCUAUUAUUCUGGGUCUGACAUCUCUUUUCAUUUAACUUUCCAAGAUCUACAGGACAGUAAAAAUGAAUCUAUGUAUUAUGGUGUGUUUAAGGAAACUUGGGAUUAAGAAUGGGGGAGGAGGCAAAGAGGAAAAGGGUGUAUUCCUUUGAUCCACAACUGCACAAAGAAAGGCAUGGUACAAGGCUUGGAAAAUCCUAGUUUCUUUAAAAAAAUGAAUCUGAAAUAACUCUUUUAUGCUGUAUAUUAAAGCUAGAACUGAGUUUAGCCAACCAUGGAUACUUUAUGAGAUUGGAUCUUAAUCAUAUUGAUUUAUCACUACCCCCAAAAAUAUAUCUGACCAAAGUUUCUGAGAAAUACACUCUUCUUACAAUGAUUGGAUUUGUACAGUAACUAUGUUUCAUAUCAUAUUAGUGUUAAUUUUAUAAGCUGAAUUCUAAUAUGACUGGAAGAGAUAAUUGUGGUAGUCAUAUUUCAUUAAGUUUUUAGCUAUAUAUAUGAAAAUUACUGGUAAGGGGAAAUUUUAAAAAACUUAUUUUGUAGUUGGAAGUAUUUGGUAAAAGGGUGGUUUUCAAGUCAUAGCUUAGGUAAAUGAAGGUUGAAACAUGUUCUUAAGUGUUUUCCAAGCUAGUUCCAGUCUCCCUCUCUAUAGUAGCAAUCAUAAGCUACAUGGGUUAAGGAUCCGGCAUUGCCAUGAGCUGUGGUAUAGGUUGCAGACACGGCUCAGAUCCCGCACUGCUGUGGCUCUGGCGUAGGCUGGCAGCUACAGGUCCGAUUAGACCCCUAGCACUAAAUAUUAAGGGGUCCUGUUCUUCUUUAACUGAGUGUGUUCCAUGGCAUGGCCCAUGAACACAGAAACGUUAAGUCAGCUCUGGGCUUUAUUCAAGUUAUUAGAAGCAUCUCAGCUGAUCUUCCACCAUAUCCUCAAAGUGACCUUUCUGUGCCUCACAUUUGAAACAACUUAUGAAAACUGUUCCAUAUGUCAAACUUCAUUUCAUUCAAUUUUCUCCUGGUUGAAAAUUGACACUAAAGAUGUUUUGUCUUUCAGAACAUUUUCCUUUGGGAGCCAAAGGCCCGAUGAUGUAUAAUCCUUCCUGAAGGUUUUAUGGCAAGGCUUCACAAAGCAAACAUUUUUUUCCUCUUAUUUUAUAUCACCCUGACAAACAGAAAUGCUGAGCCAUUUAAUUACAGAGCCUGCCUGACACAUCCAGAGAGUCAAAUAUUCCAGCAGCAUCUAGCUGAAGGGGAAAAAUGCACUGAACUCCCCGAGUUGCUUGUCAAGACAAUGACACCAAGGAAACUAGUAAAUAAUCUGGCAGGUCAGAGGGUGGAUACUACGGUGUGCCAGAGUGGUCCCCAUGGCUCUGUGUCAGCACCAUUAGUCCUGUAGCAUCUCAUCCCAUGAUGGUAAUACAUGAUCUGAGCUUUAGGCUGAGCAGCCAGGAAAUGAUGAGAACACAGGUCAGAACGAAGGUCAAGCCACAGGCCCAUAGAUCAUCUCUUGAUCUGGGUUUUACAGAAAUGUCCAGAUUGAGAGCUUGCACUCUUAAUUCUCAAACUAACUCACAAAAAGAAUCUGCACAGAUACAACUGAAUAUUCGUCCCUCUAUAUCCAAGAUGUGACAGACAGUCCCCAGGACCAGGCACGAGUGCACUGAGAUAUUAUGUCCUAUAAUGUUUCAAAGCUCCAACACAUAAUCAAAAUAUCUUAGGUUACAUCUAUUUAACGCCCUUUCUAUCCCUUUAGAAUAGUUAAUCCCUGUGAUAAUUUCCAGUCCAUUUUAUGGCAAUAACUAAAGUAUGAAAGUCACUCUCUUGAAUGCUUCUUGUUUGCAUGAUUUAUAUUUUUCUUUCUUUCUUCUAUCAAUCAUACAGUAAAAAGAAAGAAUAAAAGUAGACCUCCUAUGAAUCAGGCACUAAUCUAAGCACUGGAUUGAGCAGUGGUGACAAGGUCACUACAUUUAAGGAAAUUACAUCCGAGAGUCAGGAGGCAAAAUAAACAUGUAAUAAGAUUAUUUUGGGGUUGUAUAUGUUCUGAAUAAAAUAGUCUACAGAGUGAUACAGAAUAGAGUGGUGGGAUGCUUUCUCAGGAUGGCCAGGGAAGUUCACGUUGAAGUGAUGAUUGUUAACUUGAGAUAUGAAGGAUGAAAAUGAUAAAAGGAGGCAGCCAAGAACUAUUUGGGUGAAGAAUGUUGCAGGAAAAAGAAAUAACAUGUGUAAACGCCCUAAGACAGAAAUGAGAGGGGAUGAGCUUUAUGGAAAGAAAGGUCAGUGAGGUCAGAAAGUAUUGAAUGAAGAGUAGAGUGGACGGAAAUGACACAGGGGAGGUUUUCAGAGGACAGAUCAUGUAAUGCAUUGGAGGCAUAUAUUUUGAAAAUGAAGAAGUAAAACUGCCUUUAAUCACAAACAGUAUGAUCCCAGUUGCAUAAUACUCCAUAAAGAUUAUACCCCAAACCUAGUAGAGCCAAUAACAAAAUUUAAGAAUAGCAUAAGGUCAGUGCAUACUGCAUUUCUACAUACUAGGAAAGAAAAAUUCAAAAGUUCGGUCAAGAUA
This 6035-nucleotide long non-coding RNA is filed under the name Sus scrofa (pig). RNAcentral's name for it is "lncRNA (ENSSSCG00005039646.1)". The record is from RNAcentral. Lineage: Eukaryota; Metazoa; Chordata; Mammalia; Artiodactyla; Suidae.